This 83-nucleotide transfer RNA is filed under the name Oscillospiraceae bacterium. RNAcentral's name for it is "tRNA-Leu". It matches the Rfam family "tRNA". From Rfam's summary of the family: Transfer RNA (tRNA) molecules are approximately 80 nucleotides in length. RNAcentral also lists the same sequence under 1 other name. Lineage: Bacteria; Bacillati; Bacillota; Clostridia; Eubacteriales; Oscillospiraceae. The record is from RNAcentral.
GCGGGUAUGGUGGAAUUGGCAGACACGUUGGAUUUAGGAUCCAAUGGGAGACCGUGCAGGUUCAAGUCCUGUUACCCGCACCA